RNAcentral lists this ribosomal RNA (155 nucleotides) under Tranzschelia pruni-spinosae var. americana. Its description in RNAcentral is "5.8S ribosomal RNA". It matches the Rfam family "5.8S ribosomal RNA". Rfam says of the family: 5.8S ribosomal RNA (5.8S rRNA) is a component of the large subunit of the eukaryotic ribosome. It is transcribed by RNA polymerase I as part of the 45S precursor that also contains 18S and 28S rRNA. Lineage: Eukaryota; Fungi; Basidiomycota; Pucciniomycetes; Pucciniales; Raveneliaceae. The record is from RNAcentral.
AACUUUUAACAAUGGAUCUCUAGGCUCUCAUAUCGAUGAAGAACACAGUGAAAUGUGAUAAGUAAUGUGAAUUGCAGAAUUCAGUGAAUCAUUGAAUCUUUGAACGCACCUUGCACCUUUUAGUAUUCUAAAAGGUACGCCUGUUUGAGUGUCAU